This 696-nucleotide ribosomal RNA is filed under the name uncultured Vibrionaceae bacterium. RNAcentral's name for it is "bacterial SSU rRNA". It matches the Rfam family "Bacterial small subunit ribosomal RNA", at positions 1 to 671 of the family's 1533-position model. The record is from RNAcentral. Lineage: Bacteria; Pseudomonadati; Pseudomonadota; Gammaproteobacteria; Vibrionales; Vibrionaceae.
GGCCGCGGGAUUAGAGUUUGAUCAUGGCUCAGAUUGAACGCUGGCGGCAGGCCUAACACAUGCAAGUCGAGCGGAAACGACACUAACAAUCCUUCGGGUGCGUUAAAGGGCGUCGAGCGGCGGACGGGUGAGUAAUGCCUAGGAAAUUGCCUUGAUGUGGGGGAUAACCAUUGGAAACGAUGGCUAAUACCGCAUAAUGCCUACGGGCCAAAGAGGGGGAUCUUCGGACCUCUCGCGUCAAGAUAUGCCUAGGUGGGAUUAGCCAGUUGGUGAGGUAAUGGCUCACCAAGGCGACGAUCCCUAGCUGGUCUGAGAGGAUGAUCAGCCACACUGGAACUGAGACACGGUCCAGACUCCUACGGGAGGCAGCAGUGGGGAAUAUUGCACAAUGGGCGAAAGCCUGAUGCAGCCAUGCCGCGUGUAUGAAGAAGGCCUUCGGGUUGUAAAGUACUUUCAGUUGUGAGGAAGGGGGUAACGUUAAUAGCGUUAUCUCUUGACGUUAGCAACAGAAGAAGCACCGGCUAACUCCGUGCCAGCAGCCGCGGUAAUACGGAGGGUGCGAGCGUUAAUCGGAAUUACUGGGCGUAAAGCGCAUGCAGGUGGUUCAUUAAGUCAGAUGUGAAAGCCCGGGGCUCAACCUCGGAACUGCAUUUGAAACUGGUGAACUAGAGUGCUGUAGAGGGGGGUAGAAUUUCA